RNAcentral lists this ribosomal RNA (510 nucleotides) under uncultured bacterium. Its description in RNAcentral is "partial 16S ribosomal RNA". It matches the Rfam family "Bacterial small subunit ribosomal RNA", at positions 28 to 507 of the family's 1533-position model. The record is from RNAcentral.
GACGAACGCUGGCGGCGUGCUUAACACAUGCAAGUCGAACGAAGAGCGAUGGAAGCUUGCUUCUAUCAAUCUUAGUGGCGAACGGGUGAGUAACGCGUAAUCAACCUGCCCUUCAGAGGGGGACAACAGUUGGAAACGACUGCUAAUACCGCAUACGAUCUAAUCUCGGCAUCGAGGAUAGAUGAAAGGUGGCCUCUACAUGUAAGCUCUCGCUGAAGGAGGGGAUUGCGUCUGAUUAGCUAGUUGGAGGGGUAACGGCCCACCAAGGCGAUGAUCAGUAGCCGGUCUGAGAGGAUGAACGGCCACAUUGGGACUGAGACACGGCCCAGACUCCUACGGGAGGCAGCAGUGGGGAAUCUUCCGCAAUGGACGAAAGUCUGACGGAGCAACGCCGCGUGAGGGAUGACGGCCUUCGGGUUGUAAAGCUCUGUUAAUCGGGACGAAAGGCCUUCUUGCGAAUAGUGAGAAGGAUUGACGGUACCGGAAUAGAAAGCCACGGCUAACUACGUG